UUGGUUAAGUUAGAAAGGGCGCACGGUGGAUGCCUUGGCACUAGGAGCCGAAGAAGGACGGGACUAACACCGAUAUGCUUUGGGGAGCUGUACGUAAGCGUUGAUCCAGAGAUUUCCGAAUGGGGGAACCCACUAUCUUUAGUCGGAUAGUAUCCUUACGUGAAUACAUAGCGUGAGGAAGGCAGACCCAGGGAACUGAAACAUCUAAGUACCUGGAGGAAGAGAAAGAAAAAUCGAUUUCCUGAGUAGCGGCGAGCGAAACGGAAAGAGCCCAAACCAAGAAGCUUGCUUCUUGGGGUUGUAGGACACUCUAUACGGAGUUACAAAAGAAAGUUAUAAAUGAAGCGGUCUGGAAAGGCCCGCCAAAGACGGUAACAGCCCGGUAGUUGAAAUGGCUUUCCCUCCAGAGUGGAUCCUGAGUACGGCGGAACACGUGAAAUUCCGUCGGAAUCCGGGAGGACCAUCUCCCAAGGCUAAAUACUCCCUAGUGACCGAUAGUGAACCAGUACCGUGAGGGAAAGGUGAAAAGCACCCCGGAAGGGGAGUGAAACAGUUCCUGAAACCGUGUGCCUACAAGUAGUUAGAGCCCGUUAAUGGGUGAUAGCGUGCCUUUUGUAGAAUGAACCGGCGAGUUACGAUUUGUUGCAAGGUUAAGCGGAAAAAGCGGAGCCGUAGCGAAAGCGAGUCUGAAUAGGGCGCAUAAGUAACAGGUCGUAGACCCGAAACCAGGUGAUCUACCCAUGUCCAGGAUGAAGGUAAGGUAAUACUUACUGGAGGUCCGAACCCACGCACGUUGAAAAGUGCGGGGAUGAGGUGUGGGUAGCGGAGAAAUUCCAAUCGAACUUGGAGAUAGCUGGUUCUCUCCGAAAUAGCUUUAGGGCUAGCCUCGAGGUAAAGAGUCAUGGAGGUAGAGCACUGUUUGGACUAGGGGCCCUUCUCGGGUUACCGAAUUCAGAUAAACUCCGAAUGCCAUGUACUUAUACUCGGGAGUCAGACUGCGAGUGAUAAGAUCCGUAGUCGAAAGGGAAACAGCCCAGACCACCAGUUAAGGUCCCCAAAUAUAUGUUAAGUGGAAAAGGAUGUGGGGUUGCUUAGACAACCAGGAUGUUGGCUUAGAAGCAGCCACCAUUGAAAGAGUGCGUAAUAGCUCACUGGUCGAGUGACCCCGCGCCGAAAAUGUACCGGGGCUAAACAUAUUACCG
This 1202-nucleotide ribosomal RNA is filed under the name Listeria innocua. Its description in RNAcentral is "partial 23S ribosomal RNA". It matches the Rfam family "Bacterial large subunit ribosomal RNA", at positions 1 to 1196 of the family's 2925-position model. Lineage: Bacteria; Bacillati; Bacillota; Bacilli; Caryophanales; Listeriaceae. The record is from RNAcentral.